CUUUGGUCGUCCAGCCUUAGGUGACUUCUCUGAUCAUAAAGCUAGACAACCAUUGAA
RNAcentral lists this microRNA precursor (57 nucleotides) under Drosophila ananassae. RNAcentral's name for it is "Dan-Mir-9-P9_pre stem-loop". The record is from RNAcentral. Lineage: Eukaryota; Metazoa; Arthropoda; Insecta; Diptera; Drosophilidae.